UACGGAGGGUGCAAGCUUUAUCCGGAUUCACUGGGUUUAAAGGGUGCGUAGGCGGGCAUGUAAGUCCGUGGUGAAAUCUCCGAGCUUAACUCGGAAACUGCCAUGGAUACUAUGUGUCUUGAAUGUUGUGGAGGUGAGCGGAAUAUGUCAUGUAGCGGUGAAAUGCUUAGAUAUGACAUAGAACACCAAUUGCGAAGGCAGCUCACUACACAAAUAUUGACGCUGAGGCACGAAAGCGUGGGGAUCAAACAGG
Molecule: ribosomal RNA, 253 nt
Filed under: uncultured bacterium
Lineage: Bacteria
Description: partial 16S ribosomal RNA
Rfam family: Bacterial small subunit ribosomal RNA
Source: RNAcentral